This 108-nucleotide small nuclear RNA is filed under the name Chinchilla lanigera (long-tailed chinchilla). The record is from RNAcentral. Lineage: Eukaryota; Metazoa; Chordata; Mammalia; Rodentia; Chinchillidae.
GUGCUCACUUCAGCAAUAAAUAUGGGAACACUGGAACAACACAGAAAAGACCAGCAUGGUCCCGGGCACAACAGUGACACACAAAUUCAAAAAGUGUCCCACAUUUUA